AUUGAACGCUGGCGGCAGGCCUAACACAUGCAAGUCGAGCGGCAGCGGAAAGUAGCUUGCUACUUUGCCGGCGAGCGGCGGACGGGUGAGUAAUGUCUGGGAAACUGCCUGAUGGAGGGGGAUAACUACUGGAAACGGUAGCUAAUACCGCAUGACCUCGAAAGAGCAAAGUGGGGGAUCUUCGGACCUCACGCCAUCGGAUGUGCCCAGAUGGGAUUAGCUAGUAGGUGAGGUAAUGGCUCACCUAGGCGACGAUCCCUAGCUGGUCUGAGAGGAUGACCAGCCACACUGGAACUGAGACACGGUCCAGACUCCUACGGGAGGCAGCAGUGGGGAAUAUUGCACAAUGGGCGCAAGCCUGAUGCAGCCAUGCCGCGUGUGUGAAGAAGGCCUUAGGGUUGUAAAGCACUUUCAGCGAGGAGGAAGGCACCAUACUUAAUACGUGUGGUGAUUGACGUUACUCGCAGAAGAAGCACCGGCUAACUCCGUGCUAGCAGCCGCGGUAAUACGGAGGGUGCAAGCGUUAAUCGGAAUUACUGGGCGUAAAGCGCACGCAGGCGGUUUGUUAAGUCAGAUGUGAAAUCCCCGCGCUUAACGUGGGAACUGCAUUUGAAACUGGCAAGCUAGAGUCUUGUAGAGGGGGGUAGAAUUCCAGGUGUAGCGGUGAAAUGCGUAGAGAUCUGGAGGAAUACCGGUGGCGAAGGCGGCCCCCUGGACAAAGACUGACGCUCAGGUGCGAAAGCGUGGGGAGCAAACAGG
Molecule: ribosomal RNA, 759 nt
Filed under: uncultured Enterobacteriaceae bacterium
Lineage: Bacteria; Pseudomonadati; Pseudomonadota; Gammaproteobacteria; Enterobacterales; Enterobacteriaceae
Description: bacterial SSU rRNA
Rfam family: Bacterial small subunit ribosomal RNA
Source: RNAcentral